GCUUAAAGGGGCCGUAGCUUGAUAAUAGGGUCCCUUGAGAAAUCCGCCGGCUUAACUGGCGGGCGUUCAGGGGAAACUUGUUUUCUAGGGACCGGGAGAGGUGAGGGGUACUGCCGGGGUAGGAGUGAAAUCCUGUAAUCCCGGUGGGACCACCUAUGGCGAAGGCAUCUCACCAGAACGGGUCCGACAGUGAGGGACGAAAGCUGGGGGAGCAAACCGGAUUAGAUACCCAGGUAGUCCCAGCUGUAAACUAUGUGCGUUAGGUGUGUCAGUGACCACGUGUCACUGAGGUGCCGAAGGGAAACCGUGAAACGCACCGCCUGGGGAGUACGGUCGCAAGGCUGAAACUUAAAGGAAUUGGCGGGGGAGCACCACAACGGGUGGAGCCUGCGGUUUAAUCGGACUCAACGCCGGGAAUCUCACCGGAUAAGACAGCUGAAUGAUAGUCGGGAUGAAGACUCUACUUGACUAGCUGAGAGGAGGUGCAUGGCCGUCGUCAGUUCGUACUGUGAAGCAUCCUGUUUAGUCAGGCAACGAGCGAGACCCACGCGAGCAGUUGCCAGCUCGACCUUCGGGUUGAUGGGGACACUGCUCGGACCGCCUCUGCUAAAGGGGAGGAAGGACUGGGCAACGGUAGGUCAGCAUGCCCCGAAUUAUCCGGGCUACACGCGGGCUACAAUGGACAGGACAAUGAGUUUCGACACCGAGAGGUGAGGAUAAUCUUCUAACCCUGUCCCAAGUUCGGAUUGCGGGUUGUAACUCACCCGCAUGAAGCUGGAAUCCGUAGUAAUCGCGCUUCAACAUACCGCGGUGAAUAUGUCCCUGCUCCUUGCACACACCGCCCGUA
This 847-nucleotide ribosomal RNA is filed under the name uncultured prokaryote. Its description in RNAcentral is "bacterial SSU rRNA". It matches the Rfam family "Archaeal small subunit ribosomal RNA", at positions 508 to 1354 of the family's 1478-position model. The record is from RNAcentral.